This 350-nucleotide unclassified non-coding RNA is filed under the name soil metagenome. RNAcentral's name for it is "partial contains 5.8S ribosomal RNA, internal transcribed spacer 2, and large subunit ribosomal RNA". The stretch from base 1 to 120 matches the Rfam family "5.8S ribosomal RNA", at positions 35 to 154 of the family's 154-position model. The record is from RNAcentral.
GAUGAAGAACGUAGCGAAAUGCGAUAAGUAAUGUGAAUUGCAGAAUUCCGUGAAUCAUCGAAUCUUUGAACGCACAUUGCGCCCCCUGGCAUUCCGGGGGGCAUGCCUGUCCGAGCGUCAUUGCUGCCCUUCAAGCCCGGCUUGUGUGUUGGGUCGUCGUCCCCCCCGGGGGACGGGCCCGAAAGGCAGCGGCGGCACCGCGUCCGGUCCUCGAGCGUAUGGGGCUUUGUCACCCGCUCGAUUAGGGCCGGCCGGGCGCCAGCCGGCGUCUCCAACCUUCUAUUUUACCAGGUUGACCUCGGAUCAGGUAGGGAUACCCGCUGAACUUAAGCAUAUCAAUAAGCGGAGGA